UACAGAGGUCUCAAGCGUUGUUCGGAUUCAUUGGGCGUAAAGGGCUCGUAGGUGGCCAACUAAGUCGGACGUGAAAUCCCUCGGCUUAACCGGGGAACUGCGUCCGAUACUGGUUGGCUUGAGUUUGGGAGAGGGAUGCGGAAUUCCAGGUGUAGCGGUGAAAUGCGUAGAUAUCUGGAGGAACACCGGUGGCGAAGGCGGCAUCCUGGACCAAUACUGACGCUGAGGAGCGAAAGCCAGGGGAGCAAACGGG
RNAcentral lists this ribosomal RNA (253 nucleotides) under uncultured bacterium. RNAcentral describes it as "partial 16S ribosomal RNA". It matches the Rfam family "Bacterial small subunit ribosomal RNA", at positions 524 to 776 of the family's 1533-position model. The record is from RNAcentral.